UGAUUUAUCAUUUGUGAAAGAUGAAGUAAACCACCAAGGUAAUGAUACAAAAUCUGAAAGUGCUCGCCCGUUAAUUUUGGAGUUUUGUAACUGAACACCAGUCUCGCCGCCAAAAGGAGAUAAUAGAAAAAUGUGGCAUGUGCCCCUAGAUGAAAUUACAGCUAUCCAUUCACUAUAUUGGCUAAAACAAAUGUCUUGUAUCACCUCGGAUGUCAUGCCACGAUGGAGCUUGUAAAGAUGCACAUGAGCAGAAUUCCAAUUAAAGUUUUGGCUUCCUGAAUCACAUUGUGAGGAGGAUGGAAGGAUCCGGA
Molecule: long non-coding RNA, 311 nt
Filed under: Helianthus annuus (common sunflower)
Lineage: Eukaryota; Viridiplantae; Streptophyta; Magnoliopsida; Asterales; Asteraceae
Description: sRNA HanXRQr2_Chr07g0289691
Source: RNAcentral